AAAUUUUAUGUCUCAUUUAAAAGAAGGCAUUCCUCUAUUAUAUAUUCUUGGGGACAUCUUGCUUCAAAUCACCUCUUUAAGUUUAUUAACUUUGUUGAUCCAUUUUUAUCAGCUAUUUGUUCAAUUUUACUUCUUACCAAGUCAGAUGUACUGAGUAAAAUUUUUGGCACAGUGAUUGGUGAGGUGUGUGCAUCUGUUAUUGAAUAUGAACCAUCAGUUAUAGAUGCAAAUAAACAAAAUUUGUCACUUAAGUUAGAAGAAGUAUACAAAAUUAUUAAUGAUGUUUGGUUAAUUUUCAAGGAUAUAAAGCUGAUUGAAAAUAUUCUUGGAGCAUUAAGCUUAAUUAUUAUGCUAAUGAGUAUAUUAAAUAGAGAUUGUAUAGAAUUUUGACAACAAAUACUGAGCUUGUAUAAUAAAUGUUUAUCAAUCGGUAUGUCUUGAUAUUGGGUUUCACAGUACUUGGCAAGUUUUUUAUCUGCAAUAUCAGAAAUUAUGCUAGAACCACUAAUAGAUAAUCUUUUUUCAAUAUAACAUGAAAUGGUUAUUCUAAUGUCAGAUUAUGAUUUUCUAAUGGUUAUUAAAAAAUUAAAAAUCAUUCCAAAGUUUUAGGAUGUCAUACUUAUUAAGGUAAAAAUUUUGGUGACAAAAUACGUGAACUGAUAUUUCGAGAUCUAAUUCAGAGCAAGGAAGAAUGGGUGCUUUAUUAAUACUAUAAAUGCUUCUGAUCAGAGUAUUAAAGUUAAAUCUUCAGAAAUUAUUCCAAUUUUGUAUGAUCUGCUGAAAAUCAAUAGCUCAUUUUAAGUAUUUAUUAAAAAUUACAUAAUGAUAAUUAAAUUUAAUAAUAAAAUAAAUAAUUAAUUUUCAGAUGAAGAACUUAUUAGUAAAAGUUUUUAUAUGCUUUGCAUA
Molecule: long non-coding RNA, 906 nt
Organism: Rhopalosiphum maidis (corn leaf aphid)
Lineage: Eukaryota; Metazoa; Arthropoda; Insecta; Hemiptera; Aphididae
Exons: 5
Source: RefSeq, a predicted model, not a curated record